GCUUAGAGUUUGAUCCUGGCUCAGGAUGAACGCUGGCGGCGUGCCUAACACAUGCAAGUCGAACGGAAUCUUCGGAUUUAGUGGCGGACGGGUGAGUAACGCGUGAGAAUCUGCCUUUAGGUUCGGGACAACAGUUGGAAACGACUGCUAAUACCGAAUGUGUCGCAAGAUGAAAGAUUAAUUGCCUAAAGAUGAGCUCGCGUCCGAUUAGCUAGUUGGUGUGGUAAAAGCGCACCAAGGCGACGAUCGGUAGCUGGUCUGAGAGGAUGAUCAGCCACACUGGGACUGAGACACGGCCCAGACUCCUACGGGAGGCAGCAGUGGGGAAUUUUCCGCAAUGGGCGAAAGCCUGACGGAGCAACGCCGCGUGAGGGAGGAAGGCUUCUGGGUUGUAAACCUCUUUUCUCAAGGAAGAUAAUGACGGUACUUGAGGAAUCAGCAUCGGCUAACUCCGUGCCAGCAGCCGCGGUAAUACGGAGGAUGCAAGCGUUAUCCGGAAUAAUUGGGCGUAAAGCGUUCGUAGGUGGUUUUACAAGUCUGCUGUUAAAGCGUGUAGCUCAACUACAUAAUGGCGGUGGAAACUGUAGAACUAGAGUACGUUCGGGGCAGAGGGAAUUCCUAGUGUAGCGGUGAAAUGCGUAGAGAUUAGGAAGAACACCGGUGGCGAAAGCGCUCUGCUAGGCCGUAACUGACACUGAGGGACGAAAGCUAGGGGAGCGAAUGGGAUUAGAUACCCCAGUAGUC
Molecule: ribosomal RNA, 744 nt
Filed under: uncultured cyanobacterium
Lineage: Bacteria; Bacillati; Cyanobacteriota
Description: bacterial SSU rRNA
Rfam family: Bacterial small subunit ribosomal RNA
Source: RNAcentral